Dreissena polymorpha is the source of this 1187-nucleotide RNA transcript. RefSeq lists it as uncharacterized. The record is from RefSeq and is a predicted model, not a curated record. Lineage: Eukaryota; Metazoa; Mollusca; Bivalvia; Myida; Dreissenidae. The transcript is spliced from 6 exons.
CAGUAGUUUAUAAACCCUACUCUUUAUAGCACUUUAAUCAAGUGGUUGAUAGCAUGUUAAACUCGUUUGGUUUAUGAUACUAUUGAGUUAGAUCUGUGUUAACACGUGUUGCUGAACGGCUGCGCUAUCUUUGCACACAGGGAGUUGAGUAAACAGGCACCUAGGAUGUCGAAACAAUUACCGGAAGCGGAAAUGGAGCGUCUGAAGAAGCAGCUGGGCUUGGUUCCCCACCCCUCGGGAUACGGCGCAUUCCGGGAGAUGUUUAAAGGGGACAGGGAGGUGGUGUUUACUUCACUGACAAGUUUUGUUCUCUACACGGGUGAACCAAAUAACUUCUCCGUCCCCAGCCAUGACGGACCUCGCUCCACGGCGACCAGUAUAUACUUCCUGUUGACACAGCCUCACUGCGUCACGUGGCACAAACACCUGUCAGACGAGGGAUUCUACUGGCAUGCUGGUGGAAAGGUCAAGGUACGGAUGUUGACGGACGGCGGGAAACUGUCGAGUGUCACACUGGGGGACGUUGUGCGCCAUGAAGACUGUAUGGGGCAGGCGAUUGUGCCGCAUGAAACGUGGUACUGCGCCGAACUACAGGAAGGGGCGGCCUACGCGCUCUACAGCGCCGUGGUGACGCCGGGUUUUGAGUUUCGAGACUGGAUCGCAGGAGAAAGGGAGGCCAUGUUGAAAGCCUUUCCUCAACAUCAUGACGUAAUUAUACAGUUCACCUGACGUCAUUCAAAAAGUCAAGCAACGUUUACAUGACGUCAACACAAACUUAAUGGAACGUCAUCAUGCGAGAUCUUUACAUUGAUUUGAUUUUAUUAAAAUUGGACUUCCAAGGACGGUCUGAACGUCAGUGAGAAACUGUUACACAAACCAUUUGAAUAUAGGAAUACAAAAAUUCGUGAAGCAAAACCACGAGAGACAUUAUUACAAACAAUCCAAGGAAUGUUUAUUUGCACACAUCCGCUAGUUGUUCAUUGAAGGGGAGAGCCUACACUUAAACAUAAAACUGAAGACCUGAUAUUCCUUGGUAUAUCCAUGCAAAGUGAAUGAACUGGAAAGCUCUUUUCUAUUUUAUGCAAUAUAUGUAUGCCUGAUAAAGGUAAUAGGCCUUAUUAAAAUGCAGUGCUUGUUGUUUGUUGUCUUUACAUGCUUUGAGAAUAACUAAAAUACUUUAUGUUUCA